This 467-nucleotide ribosomal RNA is filed under the name uncultured soil bacterium. Its description in RNAcentral is "bacterial SSU rRNA". It matches the Rfam family "Bacterial small subunit ribosomal RNA", at positions 35 to 480 of the family's 1533-position model. The record is from RNAcentral.
GCUGGCGGCGUGGAUAAGACAUGCAAGUCGAGCGGGAUUUUCUUUGGUAGCAAUACCGAGGAAAAUUCAGCGGCGAACGGGUGCGUAACACGUGGGCAAUCUGUCUUAAAGUGUGGGAUAGCUCGGCGAAAGCCGAAUUAAUACCGCAUGUGGCUACUGGAGACAUCUUCGGGACGCUAAAGGUGGCGCAAGCUACCGCUUUUUGAGGAGCUCGCGGCCUAUCAGCUUGUUGGUGAGGUAACGGCUCACCAAGGCGUUGACGGGUAGCUGGUCUGAGAGGACGACCAGCCACACUGGGACUGAGACACGGCCCAGACACCUACGGGUGGCAGCAGUCGAGAAUUUUUGACAAUGGGGGAAACCCUGAUCGAGCGACGCCGCGUGGAGGAUGAAGGUCUUCGGGUUGUAAACUCCUGUCAUUUGGGAACAAGGCGCGGCUAUUAACUGUAGUCGCGUUGAUAGUACCA